RNAcentral lists this ribosomal RNA (497 nucleotides) under uncultured bacterium. RNAcentral describes it as "partial 16S ribosomal RNA". It matches the Rfam family "Bacterial small subunit ribosomal RNA", at positions 28 to 507 of the family's 1533-position model. The record is from RNAcentral.
GAUGAACGCUGGCGGCGUGCCUAAUACAUGCAAGUCGAGCGAACAGAUGAGGAGCUUGCUCCUCUGACGUUAGCGGCGGACGGGCGAGUAACACGUGGAUAACCUACCUAUAAGACUGGGAUAACUUCGGGAAACCGGAGCUAAUACCGGAUAAUAUAUUGAACCGCAUGGUUCAAUAGUGAAAGACGGUUUUGCUGUCACUUAUAGCUGGAUCCGCGCCGCAUUAGCUAGUUGGUAAGGUAACGGCUUACCAAGGAAACGAUGCGUAGCCGACCUGAGAGGGUGAUCGGCCACACUGGAACUGAGACACGGUCCAGACUCCUACGGGAGGCAGCAGUAGGGAAUCUUGCGCAAUGGGCGAAAGCUUGACGGAGCAAGGCCGCGUGAGUGAUGAAGGUCUUCGGAUCGUAAAGCCCUGUUAUUAGGGAAGAACAAAUGUGGAAGUAAAUAUGGACGUCUUGACGGUACCUAAUCAGAAAGCCACGGCUAACUACGUG